This 481-nucleotide ribosomal RNA is filed under the name uncultured bacterium. Its description in RNAcentral is "partial 16S ribosomal RNA". It matches the Rfam family "Bacterial small subunit ribosomal RNA", at positions 30 to 506 of the family's 1533-position model. The record is from RNAcentral.
AUUGAACGCUGGCGGCAUGCCUUACACAUGCAAGUCGAACGGUAACAGGUCUUCGGAUGCUGACGAGUGGCGAACGGGUGAGUAAUACAUCGGAACGUGCCCGAUCGUGGGGGAUAACGCAGCGAAAGCUGUGCUAAUACCGCAUACGAUCUACGGAUGAAAGCGGGGGAUCGCAAGACCUCGCGCGGACGGAGCGGCCGAUGGCAGAUUAGGUAGUUGGUGGGAUAAAAGCUUACCAAGCCGACGAUCUGUAGCUGGUCUGAGAGGACGACCAGCCACACUGGGACUGAGACACGGCCCAGACUCCUACGGGAGGCAGCAGUGGGGAAUUUUGGACAAUGGGCGCAAGCCUGAUCCAGCCAUGCCGCGUGCAGGAUGAAGGCCUUCGGGUUGUAAACUGCUUUUGUACGGAACGAAAAAGCUCUCUCUAAUACAGGGGGUGAAUGACGGUACCGUAAGAAUAAACACCGGCUAACUACGU